Molecule: long non-coding RNA, 462 nt
Organism: Micropterus salmoides (largemouth bass)
Lineage: Eukaryota; Metazoa; Chordata; Actinopteri; Centrarchiformes; Centrarchidae
Exons: 3
Source: RefSeq, a predicted model, not a curated record
UAAGAAGCGGAUUGUUGCCGAGGACGCGUUCAGCUGUCAGAGAUAACGCAACUCAGCCUGCUCUUACCUGGAGUUUCACUACCAUGGACUUAACCGAGGAUAGCGCUGUGGAAAUGAUCCUGCGCUGACCCACUUCCUCACGCGGUCCUUUCCCUCUCUGUCUUUGACGCCUUCUUUCAUUUCUGUCAGGUGUAGUCAAACCUGAGGAACCAUGUCGGACAAGAUGUCCAGUUUCCUCCAUAUUGGGGACAUUUGUUCCCUGUAUGCAGAGGGCUCCACCUGUGGAUUUAUCAGCACUUUAGGGCUUGUGGAUGACCGCUGUGUGGUACAACCGGACACAGGCGACCUCAACAACCCACCCAAGAAAUUCAGAGGUAAGGCCUCAAAAUCCAUUACAGUUUAAGUGUACUAUUAUAAACAGUAUUUUUCUAAUGUCACUGUUGUAGUUUUCAGCAGAUUGGG